AAAAUAUGUUGAGAGCACUUUCUAAUCAUCUCCUUAAAUUUUUCCUAGCUCUCAUAAAUUGACUCUCCAUAAAAUUGGGAAAAAGAAGUAAUAUCACUCCUAAACUU
Dendrobium catenatum is the source of this 107-nucleotide small nucleolar RNA. Lineage: Eukaryota; Viridiplantae; Streptophyta; Magnoliopsida; Asparagales; Orchidaceae. The record is from RefSeq and is a predicted model, not a curated record.